CCUACGGGCGGCAGCAGUAGGGAAUCUUUCACAAUGGGCGAAAGCCUGAUGGAGCAACGCCGCGUGCAGGAUGAAGUCCUUCGGGUUGUAAACUGCUUUUAUAAGCGAGAAAUAUGACGGUAACUUAUUAAUAAGGACCGGCUAACUACGUGCCAGCAGCCGCGGUCAUACGUAGGAUCCGAGCAUUAUCCGGAGUGACUGGGUGUAAAGGGUUACGUAGAUGGCAUAAUAAGUAGCUAGGGAAAUCUGGUGGCUUAACCAUUCAGACUAUUAGCGACACUGUAAAGCUCGAGACCGUUAGGGGUAACUGGAAUUUCUAGUGUAGGAGUGAAAUGCGUAGAUAUUAGGAGGAACACCAGUGGCGUAGGCGGCUUACUGGAACGGUACUGACGCUAAGGCACGAAAGCGUAGGGAGCAAACGGGAUUAGAUACCCUAGUAGUC
This 442-nucleotide ribosomal RNA is filed under the name uncultured bacterium. Its description in RNAcentral is "partial 16S ribosomal RNA". It matches the Rfam family "Bacterial small subunit ribosomal RNA", at positions 338 to 795 of the family's 1533-position model. The record is from RNAcentral.